This 333-nucleotide ribosomal RNA is filed under the name Amphibalanus amphitrite. RNAcentral's name for it is "partial 12S ribosomal RNA". Lineage: Eukaryota; Metazoa; Arthropoda; Thecostraca; Balanomorpha; Balanidae. The record is from RNAcentral.
CUUAUAAAAAAUAUGUUUUGGACUAGUAGUAAAAAUGAAAUUUAACGGAUUUGGCGGCAAGAUAGCCAUUUAGAGGAACCUGCCCUAUAAACGAUGAACCACGAAUACCUUACUUUUUUUUGAGAUCAGUUUGUAUACCGCUGUUGGCAGUUAGUUUCAUUAGAAAACUUUCGUUAAUAAUAUAAUUAUUGACUUCAAGUAAAGGUGCAGCAAAUAAAAAAGACAGAGGUGGGUUACAUUUAAUUGAAUAAAACGGAUAAAGUUAUGAAAUUGCUUUUGAAGGUGGAUUUAAUAGUAAAGUUUAAUAAAACUUGAUGGGAGCUCUGUCUUGUG